RNAcentral lists this long non-coding RNA (200 nucleotides) under Elaeis guineensis (African oil palm). RNAcentral describes it as "long non-coding RNA (EGUI_LNC016041)". The record is from RNAcentral. Lineage: Eukaryota; Viridiplantae; Streptophyta; Magnoliopsida; Arecales; Arecaceae.
GGGAUGCGAUAUUGCUCCUGAAGCCGAUCGACAUUCGGCCCCGAAAGCGAGGAGGCCUCAUCUUCCGGAGCCGAUCGGGAGUCGUCGGUCGGGUUCCCCGACCGAGCUCUCUGAGUCGGAUUCCUGGGCAUUGCACCGGAACCGAAUGAAGAAGAAGAAGGAGGAGAAAAAGAGAAGAAGAGGAAGAAGAAGAAGAUGGG